This 718-nucleotide long non-coding RNA is filed under the name Rattus norvegicus (Norway rat). RNAcentral describes it as "long non-coding RNA NONRATT018116". The record is from RNAcentral. Lineage: Eukaryota; Metazoa; Chordata; Mammalia; Rodentia; Muridae.
UAAUUUUUUUAUAUUUAUUUUCAUUGUGAAAACAAGUUUUGCAAGUAUAGAAUUCUUCUUAAAGUGGUAUUCUCCACAGGAAAAUAAAAAAGUGAAACAUCCUCAUGGUUUUAGGGUUCUUGCCAUGUCCUGGGGUCUUUUAAACAACCUGCUUCGUCAGGUAGGAAGGGAAUUGUUUGACAGAGAGGAAUGGCCACUUCUCUAUGCUAGUCACAGGGGUGUCCCUUUGGACAUAUGUUUGUUACGUGCUGAUUUGACCAAAAUGCAUUUUGCAUUUACAGGCUCCUGGUUUCUGGUCUCUAUGAACAUUUUAUCUGCUCCAGAAGAGAAAGGGAGCAAAAGGACAAGGAUUGUUCAUGGUCCUACAAGUUAACCGUUAGAGAGCAGGGGAAAGAGGGAGGGUGGAAGAAAGAAGUGCAAACCUUAUUUUCUUCUAGAGAUUUGGCCUUCGGGCUCUGCUAAGUACUGAGGAGAAGUGUGCCCACUCCUCUUUAGGCAUCCAAUCAGAGUAAGCAAACAAGAACCAAGGCGGGGCUGAAGGGCCCUAGUGGUAGGAGGUGUUCUGAAUCUAGACCUUUCCUGCUCCUUCAGGAGCUUCAGGUGUUACUGACGUUGGCCCAGGAGGGGCCGGGUUUCCCCAACACUCAAGUCGAAAAGCCUUCCCUUUCUACCAGCCUCUCCCCCUCUCUGUCAGACUCGGCUGCUGUCAGUUUGCUGC